RNAcentral lists this ribosomal RNA (271 nucleotides) under Salmonella enterica subsp. enterica serovar Poona. Its description in RNAcentral is "partial 23S ribosomal RNA". It matches the Rfam family "Bacterial large subunit ribosomal RNA", at positions 1243 to 1518 of the family's 2925-position model. The record is from RNAcentral. Lineage: Bacteria; Pseudomonadati; Pseudomonadota; Gammaproteobacteria; Enterobacterales; Enterobacteriaceae.
UAAGCCUGUGAAGGUGGCCUGUGAGGGUUGCUGGAGGUAUCAGAAGUGCGAAUGCUGACAUAAGUAACGAUAAAGCGGGUGAAAAGCCCGCUCGCCGGAAGACCAAGGGUUCCUGUCCAACGUUAAUCGGGGCAGGGUGAGUCGACCCCUAAGGCGAGGCCGAAAGGCGUAGUCGAUGGGAAACGGGUUAAUAUUCCCGUACUUGGUGUUACUGCGAAGGGGGGACGGAGAAGGCUAUGUUGGCCGGGCGACGGUUGUCCCGGUUUAAGCG